This 200-nucleotide long non-coding RNA is filed under the name Lathyrus oleraceus (garden pea). RNAcentral's name for it is "Pisum sativum (pea) long non-coding RNA (PSAT_LNC003555)". The record is from RNAcentral. Lineage: Eukaryota; Viridiplantae; Streptophyta; Magnoliopsida; Fabales; Fabaceae.
GACACCAUUCAUGUAAUACAUCGAACAUCAAUAGUAGAGAAAUAAAGGAUUUUAUACACAACCUAACCGUUUUUGUAUUAUUGUUAGAACACUUUGUUUUCUUUUUGCAAUUAAAACCUGAACCCCACUUCAUUUUGUAUUUUAUACGCAUUGCACAAUAUUGUCUUGUUAAAUAGCAGUCCACACGGAUUUGAUUUUUU